Molecule: long non-coding RNA, 373 nt
Filed under: Nicotiana benthamiana
Lineage: Eukaryota; Viridiplantae; Streptophyta; Magnoliopsida; Solanales; Solanaceae
Description: long non-coding RNA (NBEN_LNC017443)
Source: RNAcentral
UUUUCGAGCCGCCUGGACUUUUAAAGCACGAUGCUUCAAGUUGACGCCGUCCGAUUAGGUAUCAUCACCGGAAUUACCUCUGGGAGUUGCACUGAAAGUGGUGGAGUUUGAUUUUUGUAGCUCUCGGACCCAAAGUACAUCAUAUUACCAAGUAAAUUGGGAAAUUAGUGCCUUUUGUCCUCAAAUAUGAGGCUUUCGAAGCUCUCGAGAAUCAUAGAUUCCAAUUGAUUUUUUUCUGAAAUUUCAAAAUUAAAUUUAUUUUUUUAAUCUAAUUAUGAGUAUAGCGGUGUUGUGAAUUUGAUUUAGAAAUAAGAUAGAGAAAGAACACCGAAGAAAAAGAGACAAAGAAGAAUAAAAAUAAAGAAAGGAAUGA